AGUCAACCUACCCUAUGGACGGGAAUAAUCUCGGGAAACUGAGGAUAAUUCCAGAUAGAACACUAUGCCUGGAACGGUUUGUGUUCCAAAUGAUUUAUCGCCGUAGGAUGGGACUGCGUCCUAUCAGUUUGUUGGUGAGGUAAUGGCCCACCAAGACUAUUACAGGUACGGGCUCUGAGAGGAGUAGCCCGGAGAUGGGUACUGAGACACGGACCCAGGCCCUAUGGGGCGCAGCAGGCGAGAAAACUUUGCAAUGUGCGAAAGCACGACAAGGUUAAUCCGAGUGGUUCCUGCUAAAGGAACCUUUUGACGGUCCUAAAACACCGUUGAAUAAGGGGUGGGCAAGUUCUGGUGUCAGCCGCCGCGGUAAAACCAGCACCUCAAGUGGUCAGGAUGAUUAUUGGGCCUAAAGCAUCCGUAGCCGGCUCUGUGAGUUUCGGUUAAAUCUGUGCGCUCAACGUACAGGCUGCCGGGAAUACUGCAGAGCUAGGGAGUGGGAGAGGUAGACGGUACUUGGUAGGAAGGGGUAAAAUCCUUUGAUCUAUUGAUGACCACCUGUGGCGAAGGCGGUCUACCAGAACACGUCCGACGGUGAGGGAUGAAAGCUGGGGGAGCAAACCGGAUUAGAUACCCGGGUAGUCCCAGCUGUAAACCAUGCAAACUCAAUGAUGCAUUGGCUUGAAGCCAAUGCAGUGUU
RNAcentral lists this ribosomal RNA (697 nucleotides) under uncultured marine archaeon. RNAcentral describes it as "bacterial SSU rRNA". It matches the Rfam family "Archaeal small subunit ribosomal RNA", at positions 102 to 802 of the family's 1478-position model. The record is from RNAcentral.